This 775-nucleotide ribosomal RNA is filed under the name uncultured Neocallimastigales. RNAcentral's name for it is "partial large subunit ribosomal RNA". It matches the Rfam family "Eukaryotic large subunit ribosomal RNA", at positions 24 to 647 of the family's 3401-position model. Lineage: Eukaryota; Fungi; Neocallimastigomycota; Neocallimastigomycetes; Neocallimastigales. The record is from RNAcentral.
GUAGUCUCGCACAGAUGCAUAUCAAUAAGCGGAGGAAAAGAAACUAACAAGGAUUCCCCUAGUAACGGCGAGUGAAGCGGGAAGAGCUCAAAUUUGAAAUCUUAAAGGGUCUCCCUUUACGAAUUGUAGUUUAAAGAAGUGUUUUCUGUUGAGGUUUUGGUAAAAGUUCUUUGGAAUAGGACAUCAUAGAGGGUGAGAAUCCCGUAUUUGACCUUUACUUUCAACUUUGUGAUACACUUUCAAAGAGUCGGAUUGUUUGGGAAUGCAGUCCAAAAUGGGUGGUAAAUUUCAUCUAAAGCUAAAUAUUGGCGAGAGACCGAUAGCGAACAAGUACCGUGAGGGAAAGAUGAAAAGAACUUUGAAAAGAGAGUUAAACAGUACGUGAAAUUGUCAAAAGGGAAGCGUUUAACACCAGUGUUGUUUUUCUGAAAAUCAAUUAAAGAACUGUUUAUGCUAAGUUGUUUAGACUUUAUCAGCUAAUCUGCUUAGUUUUGAGCUUUUCUUUAAUGCACUUUUCAGUUAACAAGUCAACAUCAAUUUCUUUUGCUGUAAAAAAGCUUGAGGAAGGUGGCUUGAGAUUCGUCUUAAGUGUUUAUAGCCUCUUGCCUAUGCAGUCGGAGAGAUUGAGGUCUGCAGCGUAGAUCCUUCGGGGCUAAAUGCAUUUGUGCUAAGUUAUAGCAUUUUAUAGACAACUUGUUGACUAUGAUUUGUCUUGUAGCUUACUCGCUUAUGUUAUUUUACCUACGCUUAGGAUGUUGACGCAUGAGAUAUACGC